AUAUUUACUUGGAAGGGGAUACCAUGAUCACAAAGGUGCUUUUCCCAGGGCGAGGCUUAUCCAUUGCAUAUCCAAUGAGCUGACCCCUGUGAUUUCCCCAAAUGUGGAAAAUUCAACUUUAAAAUUUGUAGUAGUGGAGGACUGUGUUUUUCAUCUUAUC
Molecule: small nuclear RNA, 160 nt
Organism: Suncus etruscus (white-toothed pygmy shrew)
Lineage: Eukaryota; Metazoa; Chordata; Mammalia; Eulipotyphla; Soricidae
Product: U1 spliceosomal RNA
Exons: 1
Source: RefSeq, a predicted model, not a curated record